Molecule: ribosomal RNA, 427 nt
Filed under: uncultured bacterium
Lineage: Bacteria
Description: partial 16S ribosomal RNA
Rfam family: Bacterial small subunit ribosomal RNA
Source: RNAcentral
GUGGGGAAUAUUCCGCAAUGGACGAAAGUCUGACGGAGCAACGCCGCGUGAGGGAAGAAGGCCUUAGGGUCGUAAACCUCUGUUGUGUGGGAAGAAGGAAGUGACGGUACCACACGAGGAAGUCCCGGCUAACUACGUGCCAGCAGCCGCGGUAAUACGUAGGGGACGAGCGUUGUCCGGAAUUACUGGGCGUAAAGGGCGCGCAGGCUGUGCUGCAAGUCAGCUGUGAAAUGUCUGGGCUUAACCCGGGCAUGCGGUUGAGACUGCAGUGCUGGAGUGCUGUAGAGGCAAGUGGAAUUCCCAGUGUAGCGGUGAAAUGCGUAGAUAUCUGGAGGAACAUCAGUGGCGAAGGCGACACCCUGGACCGAUACUGACACUGAGGUGCGAAAGCGUGGGUAGCGAACAGGAUUAGAAACCCCAGUAGUCC